Molecule: non-coding RNA, 215 nt
Organism: Pelobates cultripes (western spadefoot toad)
Lineage: Eukaryota; Metazoa; Chordata; Amphibia; Anura; Pelobatidae
Source: the annotation of a GenBank genome assembly
GUCACAGAGCAGCAAUUUCCUGUGCAUGUGCACUAGCAUCCCAGUGCUUUUCUAUGGAUUGGCUGAGAUCAACAAUCUCCUAUAGAAUGGCUGACACCAUUGAUCUCCUAUGGAUUAGUUGAGAUCAUCGAUGGAGGCAAGAGCAGCUGUGGAGAGAGUGCACUCAGGAGUGAAAGGUGGUAAACAAAACAGCUAGAGUACAUUAUAUUGUUAGG